RNAcentral lists this ribosomal RNA (336 nucleotides) under Triticum aestivum (bread wheat). Its description in RNAcentral is "partial small subunit ribosomal RNA". Lineage: Eukaryota; Viridiplantae; Streptophyta; Magnoliopsida; Poales; Poaceae. The record is from RNAcentral.
AUGCUCUGUAUUGGGGAAGGAGGCGGUGCACCGAAGGGGGUCGAGGGUGAGGGAGGCUGCAGAGGCGAGAGGGAGGAGUGGGGAUCGGGCAGAGCUGCAGUUCUCUCUCUGGCAGCGCAUAGGAGAGAGAAAAGAGAUCGAGAGAGAGGUGGCGGCGCUGCGGGAGGGAGGAAAGAGAUCGAGAGAGAGUUAGGGUUGGAAGGGGUGGUUGGGCCGGCCUGGGACCAUGAAGCAAGAUGGGCCGGGGCUGCAAUGAAGGAUGGCCUAGCUGGGCCUAAACGACCUGGUGGGCCGGUAUCUCUUCCCUCUCAUAACUCUUUAGGAGAAAAUGAUUAA